Long non-coding RNA from Aethalodelphis obliquidens (Pacific white-sided dolphin), 2529 nucleotides. RefSeq lists it as uncharacterized. The transcript has 2 exons. Lineage: Eukaryota; Metazoa; Chordata; Mammalia; Artiodactyla; Delphinidae. The record is from RefSeq and is a predicted model, not a curated record.
GCAGGUGAACUCUCAACCACUGCGCCACCAGGGAAGCCCUCCUCUGGGCUUCUUGAUCUUCUCAGCAAACAGAAUUCUUGCCCUCUAGGUUGACAGGGCGAGGACUGAUAGCAGAAAGGGGGAAUUGUUUGGACUUGUCCAUGUGAUUCCAGGGAAAGGAGCAGAAUGGGGGUGACAUGGCCUCACACGCUCCCCUUGGAGUCCCAUGGCAUAGACAGCCUCGCACCCAAGGCAUCUGUCUCAAAUCCUGCCAGGUUCCCACCCUCUGAGGUCCCCAGCUCUGGUCUCCCCGUCUCAUGGACGGCCACUCCUCCUCUCUACCUGCGGCCACCACCUGCAUUCCACCAUCACCUUUGACCUCCCAAGUAGGUUUCAGUGCUGUGUUACCUCACUCCCAAACUUCAGGAGUACAGAUAAACCUAUGGCAACACGGUGAGCAGGCACUUUAUUGAUUUAAAGAAAUUAACUCUUUAGCUGCGAAAUUCAGUUCUCACACAUGCAAAUGUGCCUCUACACAUAAGGCAGCCUCCCAUUAUAUGAUAGUUUUCUGCCAAGGAACUCAAGACACCUGGAACCCCUUCUGUCCUCAUGAUGCCUCACCGAAGGCAGAGGUGGUUUUUCCUGUCCAACAGAUUCGAAAGUUCAGGUUCAGCAUAGCUGAGCGGCUUGCCCCCCUCAGCCAGUCAUUGCCAGUGAUUCCCAGCUGCACAGCCAGAGACAGAGCAUGCUGCCAGUCCAGACCAUCUCAUGGCUUGCCCCCCCUUCCUUUGCAAGAAAAGAACAAAGAAUCCAGGUGGUGGGGUGAGACAUGGUGCAUUUAAAUGGUGAGAUUAGACAGUAGGUCAGCAAGUGACUGACAGGAACCCGUCUCCUGCAGUAAGUGUCCUGCCGCUGGUGACAGAGAAGAGCUGGAGUUUAACACCUUGUUGGGGGCAGGGGGGUCCUCCCCGUUCCGGUUUCAAGCUGAACCGUGGAAGGCACUGGAGUUGGUUGUUCCCUCCGCAGCUGGCGAGGUGCCGCACCACCACCCUUCCAAUGUGGGGGGAGGGGAAGGAGCAUCCUAGUUUUCCGAGAAGAGGAACAAGACUAACUUGGGCCUAACAGGGCUUGGAGAAAAGACUCAAGGCUCCUGAAGGACGCUGCCAUCAGGCCCCACCAGAAGAGGGGUGGGAUGAGGGGUGAGGAUUUAGCCCCUAACGAGCUCUCCUGGACCCUGGAGCUCCCGCCGGACACGGCCAGCAGAGGAGGCCCAGGGCCAGGAAGCCUACACCAGGCGUAGGAGAAGCUCUGUGGAUGGGCUGGCGACCUCUUUAGCCAGAGGCCCAGGAGACCCUGAAGGGGAAAGGCCAGGACCACCAUCGCACUUCCUGGGAAGGGACAGAGCCCUCCUCAGCCUCCUAGUGGCUGUUCCUUCACCCACAGAGACAGCCUGGCAGCUGAGGGCCCAAAACCCUGGGGCCCGGCCUGAGUCUGUGAGAAAUAAGCUCUCUCAUCCUAUCCAAAAGCCCUUCAGAGAGUUGAGGCCACGUCAGGAGAGGUGAGCCCCAGGAAUCGGCUCUGCAGGGGAGAACCCCCCCAACAGUGACAUGUAGCCCAGCAGUGGGACCUGGAAUGUCCCAGAAACAUUAAAGCUUGGGGUGGGGGGUGGGGUGAGAGCGACUCAGGAGCAGAGCUGAAGUCAGGAGGAAGGAGCCACUGAAAGAGGCUCCUUUCAUGCGGAGCCCAAGGCUAUAAAUAACCAGGCAGCUGCUCCACAGCUGGUGCAGGGCCCGUCUGGGCAGGGGGAGGUGACUCAGGGUGGUAAGACAGCAGCCCCCCUGCACUUGAGCUGCGGGGCUGUGGCCUGGACGGCGGAGAUGCAGCAAGCCCCCCUCCUGACACCUGGAGCUGGCAGCCGGACAAGACGGAACAAAGCGACACAGGGCCUGCUGCGCGACCCUUCUUUCCAAGGACACUCCCUGCUACCCUGGCCCUGCUGUUUGCACGUCAGCAUUGGCGCUUAUUUUUUACAAAGCCUUUUUUUCUUUUUAUUGAGAUGUAACAUCAGUGACGCACAAAUAACUUGGUGAGUUUUUAUGUAUUUCUAUACCUACCUGCCUAUCACCCGGAUCAAGGUAGAGGACAUUUUGAGCAGCUCAGUGGACAAUCUUGUGCUGUGUCAUCAAAGCCCCAACCAUCCAAGGCGAACCCCUGUUUUGAUCUCUACCAUUGUAGAUUGCGUCUUCCUUUCAACUUCAUGGCUGAUUCAUCUCACUGGAAUCCCACAGGAAGCACUGCUUUGCAUCUGGUUUCUUUCAGGCACUGACAUGCCUGUGAGAUUCCUCCACCUCUUGGGUAGCAAAACUUUGUCCUUUUUCACUGCUUUGUAUUAUUCCAUCGUAUGAGGAAACCAUGAUUUAUUUCUUCAUCCUCUUGCUAAGGGUCACUGGGCUGUUUCCAGUUUGGAGCUGUGAUGAAUAACACUGCAUUGGGCAUUCUUUCAGUGUUAGCAUAUGUCAGAGCAUGUUUGGAAAUAAAUUCUGCUGAGGA